AGUUCGUUUGGCUUUUGGCUCGGGCGAAGUUUUUGCAAACGCCAGUAGACAAUCUUUCCUCAUUUCGUUAACACACACAGACACGCAGCACAACAGCAAGAACUGGCUUCAAACCUUCAAGCAACAAUAACUUAAAGAUAUUUCACGUUUAUGCAAAUUAUGCGCUUUGCAAGACCAAACUACGGCAAGUCAAACUCGAAUUAAAAAUCUAAAAGCAAACCUAAAACUUUGGCCAGCUACUUAACCAACGAUGUCUUUGAUAACAAUCCGAAAAGUUACCCGAAAAAUAUAAUGAACAAACUGAAAUAAAAACGCACUAGCUGCAAACGGAAAACUGUGCGAAGUGCUAUCAAAUAAAUUUUUCAGCUGACACACAAGAGCUGUGGCACCAAAAAGUCAGCAAAAAAAAAAAAAAAAAAAAAAAAAAAUGUGCAUUAAAAAUUGCGCCAACAUACACUACGGGGGCAGCAGCAACAACAGCAACGACAACAACAACAACAGUAGCGAGGAUAAAGUGCCAGAGGAGAACUUCAUUCAGUUGGAUUUUGAAUUGCGAUUGCCACGCAGAGGCACCAAAGGUCCUAAAAUAUCGAGCUUUAAAAUUUUCAUGUGCUGUUGCUAUUUUAUCAUUAUUGUCUUGAUGAUCUAAGAACACACAAAA
Long non-coding RNA from Drosophila arizonae, 661 nucleotides. Lineage: Eukaryota; Metazoa; Arthropoda; Insecta; Diptera; Drosophilidae. The record is from RefSeq and is a predicted model, not a curated record.